UCCUGUGUGGCUCAGUUGGUAGAGCAUGGUGCUUGCUACGCUCAGAGUUGUGGGUUCAAUUCCCACGUGGGAC
RNAcentral lists this transfer RNA (73 nucleotides) under Salmo salar (Atlantic salmon). It matches the Rfam family "tRNA". From Rfam's summary of the family: Transfer RNA (tRNA) molecules are approximately 80 nucleotides in length. Their secondary structure includes four short double-helical elements and three loops (D, anti-codon, and T loops). The record is from Rfam by way of RNAcentral. Lineage: Eukaryota; Metazoa; Chordata; Actinopteri; Salmoniformes; Salmonidae.